Molecule: long non-coding RNA, 243 nt
Filed under: Capsella rubella
Lineage: Eukaryota; Viridiplantae; Streptophyta; Magnoliopsida; Brassicales; Brassicaceae
Description: long non-coding RNA (CRUB_LNC004902)
Source: RNAcentral
ACAAAACUACUUUAUAUAUUACUUUCACUUCAUUAUUCGUUUUGUUCACACUUGCGUUCUUAAACAAUGGUAUAUAGAGAUCAUACGGUGGUGAGACGAUUGAUACGUGAGAUCUACUUACGUACCUGCAUGAUUACUAGUUAUUGCAAAAAACAUUAAAUUUACUUUGAUAUAUAGAGAGAGUAAUCAUUAUAUAAAGCUAACUUAAGUUAUAUAUAAAUAUUUUUCAUAAAAAAAAAAAAC